AGUGAACGCUGGCGGUAGGCCUAACACAUGCAAGUCGAACGGCAGCACAGUAAGAGCUUGCUCUUACGGGUGGCGAGUGUCGGACGGGUGAGGAAUACAUCGGAAUCUUCUUUUUCGUGGGGGAUAACGUAGGGAAACUUACGCUAAUACCGCAUACGACCUACGGGUGAAAGCAGGGGAUCCUCGGACCUUGCGCGAUUGAAUGAGCCGAUGUCGGAUUAGCUAGUUGGCGGGGUAAAGGCCCACCAAGGCGACGAUCCGUAGCUGGUCUGAGAGGAUGAUCAGCCACAGUGGAAGUUAGAGGCGGUGCGGAUUCCCAAGGGAGGCAGCGGUAGGGAAAUAUGGACAAUAGGCAAAGGACGGAGCCAGGAAUACCGCGUGGGUGAAGAAGGCCUUCGGGUUGUAAAGCGCUUUUGUUGGGGAAGAAAAGCAGCAGGUUAAUACCCCGCUGUUCUGACGGUACCCGAAGAGUAAGCACCGGCUAACUUCGUG
Molecule: ribosomal RNA, 492 nt
Filed under: uncultured bacterium
Lineage: Bacteria
Description: partial 16S ribosomal RNA
Rfam family: Bacterial small subunit ribosomal RNA
Source: RNAcentral